RNAcentral lists this ribosomal RNA (252 nucleotides) under uncultured bacterium. RNAcentral's name for it is "partial 16S ribosomal RNA". It matches the Rfam family "Bacterial small subunit ribosomal RNA", at positions 524 to 776 of the family's 1533-position model. The record is from RNAcentral.
UACAUGGGGUGCAAACGUUGCUCGGAAUUAUUGGGCGUAAAGCGCACGUAGGCGGUUCGUUAAGUCGGAUGUGAAAGCCCUCGGCUCAACUGAGGAAGUGCACCCGAAACUGGCGAGCUUGAGUACGAAAGAGGAUCGCGGAAUUCCCGGUGUAGAGGUGAAAUUCGUAGAUAUCGGGAGGAACACCGGUGGCGAAGGCGGCGACCUGGUCCUUGACUGACGCUGAGCGCGAAAGCGUGGGGAGCAAAACAG